UAUAAAACCUAUUGCUUUUGCCUACAACUUUUGCCCCCAGGUACUGUAUUACUGUUCUACUGUUCUCUCAACAGUUGAUCGAUGCCAUCUGCACCGUCCAAUCUAGCGUGUGUCAAGGAUCCAAAUAUCCAAUAUCUCUUCCGCUUCUACCCUCCCGUGACCGUGAGCAGCUCGAGAUUAGUUUCUUCUCGACCAUCGAACCCUUUCCCGCUGCUUCUGUUCGCCGCCGCCGUGCUCCAGCGCCUAGGGUUUUCUUCGCCGCCGGCGAGUGCUCCAGCUCCUAGGGUUUCUUCACCGCCGGCGAGUGCUCCAGCUCCCAGCCCUGCGCGUCCUCCUCGCCGGACGCUGCCGGUGACGUCUGGGCCAAGCUAGGUCUGUAGUGCCCUCCGAUUCCGUGUUCCCGGAGGUGGAGCUGGCCGAGGACGACGCCGUGGUGUGCUCCCGGGUCACCCCGGAUGGCGGCGGGGAGGUGGUCGCGUGGUGCAAGAUUAGGCGCGGCGGCGACGUGUCGGCGGCGACGAUUUGGAAUCUGAGCUUGGAUGCAAUUAUUGUCGAUGGAAGAGUUAUCCAGCAAGAAGCAGUUGACAUCAAACCGGGGAGUGAAAUUGUUCCAGGGCCCCAGAAAGAUGGGUAUCUGUUGUACACCUUUGAUAUAACUGGCCUGAAUGACUAGGACAAAAAUAAUAUCAAGAUUGUGCUAGGUAUUGAGAAUGCAAAGUGCAGCAUAUGCUUAAAUUUGUGGGAUGAUGUUGUUACUGUUGCUUCAUGCCUCCACAACUUCUGCAAUGGCUGCUUCUUUGAGUGGUUAAGAAGGUCUUCAGCUAAUUCGCGUGAUAAAAGUUAGAGUGCUGCCUGUCCACAAUGUAGGACGACAGUGCAAUUAGUUGGUGGGAAUCACUUCCUACAUAAUAUUGAAGAGGCUAUACUGUAAGUUUUUUCAUCGCUACAGCGGUCUGAUGAGGAGAUUGCAUUGUUGGAGUCAUAUGCCCCGGUCAAGACAAAUAUUCUAAUCAAGGCCAUCUACACCAUCCGAUGUACCACGCGGCAACGAUCCGUCCCCUCUUCUGCUUCUACCCUCCCGUGAGCUCGUGGUUGAAAGUUACAUUUGUCAUGAAUUUGGAUUAUCAUUCUAUUUUGAAGAUAUCCUUGAUUGAUAAAUGCACUGCCAUGUUUCAGAUAACAUUUUAUUCUCUUAUUUCCCCCAAUUUUCCUUCCAUUUGGCAAUUCUCGUGGUGUUGGUUUGUCUGUACUGCACUUUGACACAUUAUAUUUAAUUUACAAGACUUGCCAGGUGCCUAGGAUUGUCUUUAGUAUUCAACUUUUGACAAGAUAAUAGUGGAUGAAAUGAAAAUCUGUUUACAAUUAGUACUGGCCUCUUAAUAAACUAAUUAGUAAAACAAAAUUCCCCAAAUGGUGGGCUCAUUCCGUUAGUCGGGUACUUAUAAUUGUAGAAUUUCCUUUCAGUGCAGGUUGAUCUAGAAUCAUGGUUCUCUCUCUAAGUCCUAUUUUGCUUAUCGAAUACUUGCCUCUUAAUAAACUAAUUAGUAAAAGAAAAUUCCCCAAAUGGUGGGCUGAUUCCGUUAGUCGGGUACUUAUAAUGGCAGAAUUUCCUUUCAGUGCAGUUUGAUCUAGAAUCAUGGUUCUCUCUAUAGGUCCUAUUUUGCUUGUCGAUGAUAUUGUUAAAUGUUGCCAUGGAAUGUUAGCAUCUGAUACAUGGGCUUCUCAUCUAUAGACAUGUUGUGCUUGUCAUUACCUCUAACCAUAUCAUGUUAUUUAAUUUAUAUCACAUGAUUGAAAAUGCAUUUUAGCAUGAAUGACUCAUAACGAUUUAGAAUUUUCUAACUUACAAUUAGCAAACCAUGGCAGCACAAUAUGGUAUUUCAAAUUUUCAUUUAGUUGCACUACUUGAGAAUGAGUUUAGUGGUUUGGUUGGAUUGUCUAAGUGCAAAUGUUGCUGUCAUUUGUGGGAAUCAGGAAAAUAUAAAAUGCCAUAUAUAAUAUCCUCUAUAUUUUAGUUCAUAGAGAGUAUAGUUUCCAUUCACUCCCAAAGAAAAUAUGGGUAUAAUCCGGAGCAAAUAAUCUGGAAGCAGAUAUGAAUAUGGAUAUUUUUUGCUGGAUAUGAAUACAAAUACUAUGACGUUGGCGAAAGGGCUUGUAGCCUAGUGGUUACAAGAGCAUCAGUAGCAUCUGAGGUCCUGGGUUCGACUCCCCAUGGGAGCGAAUUUUCCAGAAUUUAACGGCGUUGUGCUUUCAGUAGUAGGCGACGUACCCGUCGACAGCGAGGCUCCUGUGUAGUCUUCGAAGAUGCUCACAGGGGUAGGGUUUGCGUGCGUGUGUUUAUAGGGGUAAUUCUAAAAAAAAAAGAAAAGAAAAUACUAUGACGUUGUUUCCAGUGGAUGGGGAUACAAAUAAAGAUGCAUGCUUAUUGUUUUUCAACCACAUUUGCUUAAGCAAUGAUUGGUCUAUUCCAGUAUUACUAUUGUUGGCCCCUUUGGAACAUAUAAUUGAUAUGCCUUUUGCAUGACUCUUCUCAACUAAAAUGCAUUAGAUUGCAUCAUGUCUGUGGUUCACAAUAUGUUACAUAUGUUAUCUGGAAAGAAUAUAAUUAAAUUUGCUACAGUUCUGUGCUAUUGUUAUGUUAUUUUUGCAUUGUUGCAUGUGGUGUUUGGGAUCCAACUAAAACUAAGUUGGUUAUUUUAUUAUGUAAUCUCAACCGAUAUACGGAAUUUAUAUGUUGUGUAUAUUCAUGGUUGUUAAAUUGCUACAUUAUGUUCAGUAUAUAUACAGUUUUUUUUGGCUUCAAUUUUAUGCCGUCCUUUCCAGCUUUCCCGCCGCACCGCGCGGGGCACCCUCUAGUUAUAUUUGUUCUCUGCACUUCUGCUAGGCUGCUUAGCUACCACUAGCCUUUUACUACCCAGCUGCAGAUAAACUAAAACAUGUAUAUAUGAACAUGAAUUCCCUAACCAUAUAAACUAAAACGCCUCCGAUGAUCGAACCAUAUCUUGGUCCAUCGAUUUAAGUGGAAACCAAUGAUCAGUUGUUUUAUUUUAUUUAUUAUAUUUAUAGAACAAUUACUCCCUCGGUUCUAUAAUAUAAUGUACAACCACUUUCUUUAUAUGUUCCAUAAUAUAAGGCAUGCAUUCAAUUAAUUAUGACAUCUUCUUCAUUAAAUUAUUAAUUUUUUAAACAAUUCACUCUCACAUUCUCUAAUUCUAUUGGAUGCAUGCAUUAUAUUUAUUAGGAUGAUCCAAACUACAAGAUGAUAAUAACUAUUUCUUUAUCUUUGGGUUAAUGUUGGUUGUGCCUUAUAUUUUGGAACGGAGGGAGUAAUUUAUUAGAGUCACGUGACAACUUAGGUGUAUUUUGUCGGAACACUACUACUAAUAGUCUCAGUUUACUUGUAGUCAACUACUGUUGGUUGUAGCUUGGUGGCAUACUCUACCUACCUAUCAGUUGUUGAUGUUACUCGCGGAGUAUCGUUCUUUAUCUUUGGUGCUAGAUGACAUGCAUGCAUGCUCAUUGGAUAUCAGCUGAUUCUUAUAUUAGGUACAUUGUGCAUGAAAUGUCUUGUAAGCAAUAUGACUUAUUAGCGAUCGGUGGAUAGUGGUUUGUAUGUAGAACUCGUAUACGUGGGGAUUAGUGAGGACAUACGAUUCCACAUGUGGAGGGGAGUAUCGUGGUGGGUAUACCUGAUUUUUUUUCUUUGAGAUGGAGAUCUAAUGGGUAAAAUUAGUAGGUCCACCGAUUUUUUUUUCCUAAUUUAUUAGAACACCAUGUGGCGGUUUACGAGCGUUUGUAGGAGACCACAUGGCGGCUUGGGAGUUUUUGUAGGAAGUUAAUUUAAUGAACUUUUAGUAUAUGAUAGAUAGAUAUAGAUGUACGUUUACACCAGGUCACAUUUUCUCUGCUGUUUCCUAAUUGGUUUUACUUUCAUGCCUAGUUAAUUAAUUAUAUUAGCUAUAGGGUUAAACCAAUCUGCAUGAGCACACAGACAGUAAAGUGGAGGAGGGGAUUAGCUAACAGUUGCUUGCACAAGCAGGUGGACAGAAAGACAUGCAUUCGCUUUAAUCACACUGCUCUGAAUGUGACAUUUCUGUCAUGCCGCUCAUGCAUGAUUAGUGGCCGGAGUAGGAGUACACGUUACUAGUGGAAGGAGAAAAUCUUGUUGUCGGAGGCUGCCGCGAACGGGUCAUGUGCACACUUAAUUACCGUGUAGUCACGUCCAAAUUCCAAAAACAUAGUAAGACGUUGAAGAGGAUAUUGAGCAAAAUUCGCAUACAUUAUAUUAAUUAUUAUACUCACGUCACAUGGGCUGGAGCCUAUUUAUACGGAGGAGGAGCAAAGGAUCGGAUGAAAUCGACCAAGAUGACGAAGAUAGCAGGUGUUCUUAUUUUAGUUCUUGUUAUCUGUCCAACUAUUACUUCCGCUACCGAAACCCGGGGAGGCCGGGAUGACGACCUUAGUGACGACAAAAUCUGGACAUCUCUGAUUGCAUUCCACUAUCCUGGAUUGGUGGUUCCGCCAAUCUGCAUCGAGGACAUUGCAAAGAAAUGCGGGUGGAAUAAUCUGACCCCUGCAUGCGUGAUGGAAGAGAUGGACAGCUGCCACUAAGGCGACCACCGGCCACUCUCCAUCAGUCUCAGGCUGACAGGCUCUCAGCCAUAAUAAUUAAUAAGCUGUAAUAAGGGGCCUAAUUAAUAUGUACUACUUCAUGCCUCUGAUUUUGAUUGCAAGCACCACUAGCCAUGCAUGCAUGUCGUAUAUUCUAAUAGAAUUAAUUAAUGGUAAUAAUAUAAAGCUAGCUAGAUGUGCCUGUGGGUUUGAUUUUUAAUCACUAGGAGUAAUAGAGUAGUACUCCUCUAUCAGAAUGUCAGGGUGCAGUCAGAACCCCUUGAAUUUGGACGCUACAACUAGCUACUACUUAAUUACCGAUCGAUUUGGGGCAAAAACAACUACUGUUUGCCAGAUCAGAGAGAUGGUCAUCCACCAUGGUGAAGAACUAGCUUAACAGCGGCACAAGCACGACCUCGUCCAAGAACCCGUGUCUAGCUCGUGUGGCCGGCCAGCCGGUCACCAUGGCCGUGCAAAUCAUAUAUACAAGUCAUCGCUUGUACAAAGUUUUCAUUGUUUGAUUAAACAAAUCUGUACAGGACAUGGUGAUACAGCUGGAUUACUCAUGAUGUACUUAAAAACCAACUUGCUUCAAGAUUGCCCAUGGAACAUAACAUCAAA
Oryza sativa Japonica Group (Japanese rice) is the source of this 5232-nucleotide long non-coding RNA. RefSeq lists it as uncharacterized. NCBI's taxonomy places the organism in Eukaryota, Viridiplantae, Streptophyta, Magnoliopsida, Poales, Poaceae. The record is from RefSeq and is a predicted model, not a curated record.